Molecule: long non-coding RNA, 822 nt
Filed under: Helianthus annuus (common sunflower)
Lineage: Eukaryota; Viridiplantae; Streptophyta; Magnoliopsida; Asterales; Asteraceae
Description: hypothetical non coding rna
Source: RNAcentral
UUUGUUCUCCAUUGUUUCCGAUAUUUCAAGGUGCAUAGACGGAAAAUCGUCGAUCUUUUAAAAACACUUCAUUUUCAAGAACCAAGGAAAACAAAAGGAUUUCGAUUGCCAGAACGAUUUGUUUUCGGCAACGAGCGUGCAUGAUUCAAAGAUUUUACGAAACAAAGAUUUCCAGAACUCAAGAUCAGUAUUGGGUGUUUCAGCAACUUUAGUAGCCCAAGAGAUCAACAUAAUGGCUGAUCCAGCAGCAAGUGACAAAGUUGAAGUCAACCAAGGGUAUGGAAAAGCAUUCAAAACCUUCUUAUUAUAAAUAUUAAAAAUCACAUUCAAAAACCACCAUGUUGCAAAAUAACCCCCAAUUUUCACCCUCUUUGCUGCUUCAAUUUUCUCAACCCCAUCAGAUCUAUCAGCUUCAUACGCCUUACAAACAACCCUCCGAUCAUCAAGUUCAAAUCUUUUUAAUGACCCACAAGAUUGAAUCAAAGAAACAACAUGCAAAGGUUUUGAAUUUGUGACGGCGGAGAUUUUCUUGAUUUUGGGGUUUGAAAGAGGCGGUAAAACCAAGAAUCUUGAUGCGGAAUUGAUACGGUGAUCAGUGAUUUUGGAACUGAGUCCGGUGAUUGUUAAAUGGGGUUGCUUUAGAUUGAAGAUCAUGAUGAAUUUUGACAAAAAGGUUGAGAAUUUGAGUGAAAAGAUUGAAUCUUGAUUGUUGUGGGCUAUUUGGGAUCAAUGUUGUAAUCUGAUAUUUGUGGCAGCUUUUGUUGUAAAAGAAAUUGUGUUUUGAUCAACAAUUUAUAUGAUCAUGAGGAGUCGUUAUGGAAU